Long non-coding RNA from Eriocheir sinensis (Chinese mitten crab), 1700 nucleotides. RefSeq lists it as uncharacterized. The transcript has 4 exons. The record is from RefSeq and is a predicted model, not a curated record. Lineage: Eukaryota; Metazoa; Arthropoda; Malacostraca; Decapoda; Varunidae.
ACAGCCUAGUGGGAGCCAUGCCGAGGCUUAUCCCACGCCUACUACUGAACUGAACUGAACUGUACAGCAAGAGCAAGAGCAAGAGCCACAUUUUGACGAUAACAAACCUAAUACUUCCUUAUUUAAACCCUCGGAGACACUUAUAUAAGUAGAAUAUAUGCAGGCGUGGGAGGCGGAGGCGCGGGCGUGGGGGCGGCGAUCCCUUGAAAUAAGGUAAAAUGUCUUCCAUUCUUCCUGUGUCCUGUUCGAGCUCGUUAUUGGAUGAGUGACAUGUUGUAGUAAGAGGCUGUGGCCCCACAGCCUAACUAGCCCCAUAAAACCACCCAAGAAGAAGUGACAUGUUGUGAGACAAAGUGAGAUAGCUCUAAAGUGAGGGGGAGAGGCAGUCACCUCAGCCCCGGUGUGAGGGCCGCACAGGCUGCCCCGUCCCCCUGAGGAAGGCGCAGGUGGGGCGGGCAUACUGGAUCUGGAUACAUGAUGCGCAGGGCAGCCGUACAGGCAGCACUCACUCCCUGAAGAAGGUGCCGGAGAGGGGGGUCGGCUGCCGAGAUGGUCAGGCUCACCGGCCGGGUUGUGGACGCCAUGUCUGAGAAGCAGCCGCAGCCCAGGGUUAGACGUGGAGAAGGUUCAGUCCACCGUCCGCCAGGCUGUGCGUGACUGGUCUCCAUCAGGCACAUUGGAGCGGCCCCGUCACUAGGAAGAGUGACCUCCUCUUCCCCAGGACACUGUGGAGGUACUGUCUGGGUCUCCAUGGUGGCCGGCGUCAUGGUGUGGAGCCUAACACUCUGGGCCUUGCUCAGGAUCGUACAAACUGGCGUGGAUUAGCACCCGAUGAAGCACUCGGGCACUUUUCUACGGGUGGGGCCUGCUGCUCGAGGACACGCCCUAUGACCCGCCCGAGGGAACACACGGCCUGGACAGCGGGGGCCGGGGAAGCAUGGUCCAGUAACACACUCAGUUAAAUUUACGAAAUAUUUUAUGAAAACAAAAUGCAAAGUUUAAUAAUGGCACCAAAUUUAUCAUUAACCAACAGCUAGACUGAUGAGUCAACAGUAAACAUCCAAAACUCUCAGUAACUUACGUAAGUCAGACAGCAACUUUAUAUCAAGCAAACUUAACAACUUUUUUUUACAUGCUGCCAAUAGCGCCUGCAAGCUUUCUUGAGGGCCUCUUGGUCGACCCCAGCCCGUUAGCGGCGCAGGCGAUUUUUUUUUUUUUUUUUAUAGUGGCUGUCGUGAUGUAUGACUCUUGCUUGGUCCAUGCUGCCCCCCGGUGCUCCUCUUGGACGAAGUCGCUGAAGUUAGGGUUGAUUGAAGGCCUGGGCAACACGUGGGUAAUCAUCCGCCACUCGGCGAUGGCUUGAAAUAUCAGCGCGUUUAGGUGGGACUCGAUCCUAGGUCCACGGGCUCACCACGUACUAGGGUAUUAAUCCAAGGUUGAAUUUCCUGUCACAAACCCAUAAAAAAAAUCAUGCUGUAGAAAUACUUAGUGACUCCUUAAAGUAAACGUUUUCACGGUACUUUUUUGUAUUGAUUUCCACACGCUUGUCGUUCCUCGUCUGCCCCGCCAUCCCGAGGGCCAAUGAGGGGCCUCCGUCAAUGCUUCACCUUCCGGCUUCCAGCCAAUCACAAGGUAGUACGCCGUGACGUCAGAACCGAGCCUCCGGUGAGCUUCAUCUGCUGCUGUUUAUAUGGCCAAGG